This is a long non-coding RNA of Cygnus olor (mute swan), 2695 nucleotides long. RefSeq lists it as uncharacterized. The transcript has 4 exons. NCBI's taxonomy places the organism in Eukaryota, Metazoa, Chordata, Aves, Anseriformes, Anatidae. The record is from RefSeq and is a predicted model, not a curated record.
UUGAAAUUUCCAUGCUGAAAAAUGGUAAACUUUUUCUUCAUGUCAUUUCCUUUAUUAGAAUGUGCAACUGAAACAAUUUUGAUGAAAGAGUUGUCUGAUUUAGCUAACUAUUGCAUGCUUCUCCUUGGGUAAGCUAGCCAACAAUGCAAAAUCCUAAUUUAGGUCAUGGGGUAAACAUAAACUGACAUAGUUUAUGUUACUGGACUAUGUAGCUAAUGACGGCAGUUUGUCUACUAUUGCAAAUUGAUCACCAUGUAAGAAAAAAAAAGGUAUCUAAGUUAGAAAAAUCUGAAAGUUAACACCUGCGUGGAAAAACAGCUGCUUGCACAGAUUCAUUUUGCAUCAGCAAUGCAUAACAUGAUCGAUAUAAAUUAUUUUGUAAAGUAUUGAUUUUGAGUUGGAUUAUUUUCCAUCUUUAACAUUUCUAGGAAUUCAUUGCUUCUUCCCAAUGACAGUAGUGCUUGAUAACUUUUGCCUUCCUGUGAAGGUAGCAAGUCCAAACAUCAUGUCAUAUAUAUAUAUAUGCCUAGAAGGCAAAAAUUCAGUCUGCCUGCUGGAGAGUGUGAAAGAUUGCUAUUGACUUACGCUUCUAAAUGGAUGCCUUGUACACUGUAAGAGAAAUGCUGUGCUAUUAACUUUUACCUUCCUGUUAAACCUCUUAAGUUCAAUUAUAUGAAAUAGUGUGUGUGUGUCUUUCAACAGAAUAAUAAAUCUGAUUUAGUGAAAUUGUGGGAUAAAAGGCAAACCCUAAUGUCAUUGUGUCAUGGAGAGUUAAUAAGAUUUAUCUGUAAUUUUCCAUAGAUGCCUUUUUAACUGUUAUGCUCACAAAAUAGUGUGGAAAAAAAAAUUAUUUAUUCUAGAUCAAGUAUUUUAAGUGUUAAAUUUGUCUAACUGAAAUAGAUACGGAAAUUCUAAACAGUAUGCAAUGAUAGGAAAAGAUCUGUAGACACUCAUAUCACUAUGAGUAUAAAUAUACUCAUUAAAAAAAACUGCCACACCUUGGCAAUUUUAAUUUGGAUUACCUCUAGUCUGAGAACAGUCUGGUGAGCUUAUGGAGUUCCUGUUACAGUUUAGUUUCAUUCAAGAGGAAUGUGGAUCAUGCUCUCCAAGCCUGGUCUGUGAUGAGAAAGCGCAAGCAAAGUAGGCGGGUAAUGCCCAGGUUUUCUAUCAGAAUGUGUUCCUCAUCGAAACUGUGGCACCAAUGUAGAAGCUUGUUCUAGAUUCUGCAUAAAAUGGCUGACAGGCAUGAACAUUCUUGUUUUGUUACUGUUUGCGUGUGUGUGUUGAUUUUCUAUGAAAUAUAAAUUAGGUUCUUACCACAGGACUUCGUAAUCCUUCCAGAUAAGUGAGAGGCUUGGUAGUCUUAGCAUAAAACUUGCGUACAUCUGUAGCCUUCAUCUUGACUCUGAUCCUGCUGUGGUGGUGGUGGCACUUUGUGAGUAAUGUAAGCACUGUUAAUUGGCCAUUUGGGGAGUUUCUCUGUUAUGUAAAACAUUUUUUAAAAUGGAGGUUGUAUUUAGGUUUAUACAGAUUGUAAACAUUACAUUCUGUUUUCAGGGAUACACGUCUUUUAUCCACAAUGUUUUUUCUAAAAAGGGUGCUGUUUGUUACAUUUUUUUCCUUUUAUAUUAUUGGUUUCUCCUCUUUUGACUCAACUCUCCAUUUGACUUCAAUGUUACUUAUUUCAUCACUGGAAGAGAAAUUAACAUGUUUUCUUUGAAGGCUCAGGGAGGAUCUGCUCUGCCUUCUGGUAUAUACUUGUCUUCUCUACAGACACCAUGUUCAUAAGGAUGUGUGGUGACAGGGCAAGAGGCAAGGGACAGGUUGCUUCAGGAGAAACUAGGCAAAACCAAACAAACUUGUUAGAGCGAUUCAACAUAAGACUGGGUUGCCCACAGAAGUGGUAGAAAUGUUUCCUGACUAGAAGUGCUCAAGAUUUGGUUUAACUGGGCCCUGGAUAACCUCAUCUAAGGCUCUGCUGGUGUUUAACAGAAGGUCAGACCAGGGGAUCUCUGAAGAGCUGGAAUUUUCCAUGGGGCAGGUGGAUGUGGGCCUGCUGGGGGAAGCGGCGCCUUGGGCCUGGCCUGGGCCUGGGCCCAGGGGCCUGGCCUGGCCCUCGGGGCUCCACUCCCCUCAGAGCGGGAUGCUGCUGACCUCACCCCCCUGCUCUCCCCCAUCACAGACCGCCAGCUCCAAUGCCCUGCAGCAAUUUUAACAAAACUGAAGUUUUCCCCUCUCCCUUGACUGCCAUGUCAGUGGAUUACCUGGCCAGGAGAGCAGGAGGCACCUGGGCAAAGAGGAAAGCGGGAAAUGCAGUGGAUCAAAAUGAAGAUACGAAUUCCUCUGUGGGAAGGUGGCAUACGAAACAUUUGCAGCUGUGUGGUUUGGCCACCACAUGUCCUGAAGAAAUACACUGUUGGACUGUCUACACUGAAGUGGCGAAUUCCUGAGCUUGUACUACCUGAGAUAACUCCUUGGCUGAAAAGGGCAUCCUUGUCUAUAACUUUGCUCAUGAGAAAGACGGAGACUUAAGAAGGAGAAGUGAAGGUGGAAAAAGGGAAAAGAAAUGAGGGGAAGCAGCAGAGGAAGGAUGGUAUGCCAAGUUAUUUUCAACUUAGACAAUUUUGGAGGUUUGCCUAGAGGAAAGUAAAAUAAAAUAAAGGCAUUAAAACUCAGGCUGUGGUGUGGACAAGUG